ACCUACGGGACGCAGCAGUGGGGAAUAUUGGGCAAUGGGCGCAAGCCUGACCCAGCAACGCCGCGUGAAGGAAGAAGGCUUUCGGGUUGUAAACUUCUUUUAUGAGGGACGAAAGAAAUGACGGUACCUCAUGAAUAAGCCACGGCUAACUACGUGCCAGCAGCCGCGGUAAUACGUAGGUGGCAAGCGUUAUCCGGAUUUACUGGGUGUAAAGGGUGCGUAGACGGGAAAUUAAGUUAGUUGUGAAAUCCCUCGGCUCAACUGAGGAACUGCAACUAAAACUGAUUUUCUUGAGUGCAGGAGAG
RNAcentral lists this ribosomal RNA (305 nucleotides) under uncultured bacterium. RNAcentral describes it as "bacterial SSU rRNA". It matches the Rfam family "Bacterial small subunit ribosomal RNA", at positions 337 to 656 of the family's 1533-position model. The record is from RNAcentral.